RNAcentral lists this ribosomal RNA (904 nucleotides) under uncultured bacterium. RNAcentral describes it as "bacterial SSU rRNA". It matches the Rfam family "Bacterial small subunit ribosomal RNA", at positions 8 to 916 of the family's 1533-position model. The record is from RNAcentral.
AGAGUUUGAUCCUGGCUCAGGACGAACGCUGGCGGCGUGCUUAACACAUGCAAGUCGAACGAGGAUAGAUUGGAAGCUUGCUUUUGAUUUAUUCGAGUGGCGGACGGGUGAGUAACGCGUGAAUAAUCUGUCCUAUACAGGGGGAUAACGCAUCGAAAGAUGUGCUAAUACCGCGUAGGACCACGGUGUCGCAUGGCACUGAGGUGAAAGGAGCAAUCCAGUAUAGGGUGAGUUCGCGUCUGAUUAGAUAGUUGGUGAGGUAACGGCCCACCAAGUCAACGAUCAGUAGCCGACCUGAGAGGGUGAUCGGCCACAUUGGGACUGAGAGACGGCCCAGACUCCUACGGGAGGCAGCAGUGGGGAAUAUUGGGCAAUGGGCGAAAGCCUGACCCAGCAACGCCGCGUGAAGGAAGAAGGUUUUCGGAUUGUAAACUUCUGUCCUAUGUGAAGAGGUAGAGACGGUAGCAUAGGAGGAAGCCCCGGCUAACUACGUGCCAGCAGCCGCGGUAAUACGUAGGGGGCGAGCGUUGUCCGGAAUGAUUGGGCGUAAAGGGCGCGUAGGCGGCCUGUUAAGUCUGGAGUGAAAGUCCUGUUUUCAAGAUGGGAAUUGCUUUGGAUACUGAUGGGCUUGAGUGCAGGAGAGGUUAUCGGAAUUCCCAGUGUAGCGGUGAAAUGCGUAGAGAUUGGGAGGAACACCAGUGGCGAAGGCGGGUAACUGGACUGCAACUGACGCUGAGGCGCGAAAGUGUGGGGAGCAAACAGGAUUAGAUACCCUGGUAGUCCACACUGUAAACGAUGAAUGCUAGGUGUAAGAGGUAUCGACCCCUUUUGUGCCGCAGUCAACACAAUAAGCAUUCCGCCUGGGGAGUACGGCCGCAAGGUUGAAACUCAAAGGAAUUGACGG